UACGUAGGCAGCGAGCGUUGUUCGGAGUUACUGGGCGUAAAGGGUGUGUAGGCGGUUCUUUAAGUUUGGUGUGAAAUCUCCCGGCUCAACCGGGAGGGUGCGUCGAAUACUGAGGGACUAGAGUACGGGAGAGGAAAGUGGAAUUCCUGGUGUAGCGGUGAAAUGCGUAGAUAUCAGGAGGAACACCGGUGGUGUAGACGGCUUUCUGGACCGUAACUGACGCUGAGGAGCGAAAGCGUGGGGAGCGAACAGG
RNAcentral lists this ribosomal RNA (253 nucleotides) under uncultured bacterium. RNAcentral describes it as "partial 16S ribosomal RNA". It matches the Rfam family "Bacterial small subunit ribosomal RNA", at positions 524 to 776 of the family's 1533-position model. The record is from RNAcentral.